RNAcentral lists this microRNA (21 nucleotides) under Callorhinchus milii (elephant shark). Its description in RNAcentral is "eshark_let-7_5". The record is from RNAcentral. Lineage: Eukaryota; Metazoa; Chordata; Chondrichthyes; Chimaeriformes; Callorhinchidae.
AGAGGUAGUAGUUUGUGUAGU